This is a long non-coding RNA of Acanthaster planci (crown-of-thorns starfish), 1657 nucleotides long. The record is from RefSeq and is a predicted model, not a curated record. Lineage: Eukaryota; Metazoa; Echinodermata; Asteroidea; Valvatida; Acanthasteridae.
AAAAUACCCCGAACUCGAAACUAUCAGUUCCAAAUUCGAGUUUUGUAGAAAUGUUUCCAUGAUGCGUCCUGUUUAUGGCACGUCUUAUUGUAAAAACCCCGCGGGAUCACAAAAUAUUAAUGAGCUUGCGCGCAGAAAUACAACCAUUUGGUUGAAUGCAUCCAUACUUAUUAUUGCCUUAGCGACACUUAUUAUUAUUAGGGCCUUAGCGACACUUUUCAAAGUACACAAUCAAUGGGGAAGUCUGAAAUCGGUCAGAACUCUUGACUAUCCACUGUAAAUAGAACCAAAUUUACACAAAUGAAUGAGUUCAUUUUAGUCCCGCUCCCCCAGCCGCCCCUUCUCCCACGUAGUUGAAAUCGGCUCUGUAAUCUCCUUUCUUGGGCCACCGUUCGCCUUCUCCAGCUACUCUUGGUUUCCGCUACAGAAGAGCAAGGUGACGUGCAUGUCCAAUUCGGCCUCCCCUCACAGAAAUGGUACGUUUCGCAAUUCGCAAUCUCCUGAAGGCCACCGCCGUGCUGGCUUGCGCAACACAUCUCAGCCCAAAUUGCCAGAAGGUAUUUUUUUGUAUGACUGUCUUCGGGAACGAUCAGUCAUUUGCAUACAACUGCUGCACCCCCAUUCCUGCAAGAUUCCCAAGACGUUAGUGAGAGUAAGUAAAAACGAGUUUUGCGAGGGCGCUCUUCAACAGAAAUAAACAACUAUCAAUCAUUGACGUCUUGGGCCAAGACUAAUCUUCGUGGUACACGUCCACUACCACUGUACUGACAGGGCCUAUUUCAAGCGCGCCAUCGCGCCAAUCACCAGCGCCGUUUGACCCCCUGCUUGGUACCCUGCUCAAUAUGUGCGAAAGUUGAUUGACGACCAGUUUUCCACGGUGGCGCGAGUAUCAGCAUGACAAUGCCUACCCACGAGAACGCAUGUGUGGCCACGUUGGCGGGUUAUUUAAAUGUUACUUCAUAGGAGGUGAGUUCAAAGCAGUAAUGGAGAGACGAGGAACACUCCUUUGUGACCGUUUUCUGGAUUGUUGCUCAUCUGAGAUGUAUUCUGACACUUUAUUGUACUCAGCAGACUGUCAUCUUUUGUAUUGGCCUUUAGUUGGACCGAAAGAGAACACUAUUUCCUUGGCAUCAGAGGCUCCUUUGGUACAAACUGUGCAUCUCUGGAUCAUGAACGACUAGGACAUACAAGAUGUGCGGCCCCAUCACCACCAACAAAAUGAAUACUCCCAACCAACACGGCGUUUUUCAACCAAUUAAGUUGUGCUUCUACUCAAGGCAGGUUGAAGAGAUUGUUUGGCUGGAAAAUUAGUUUCCCUAGUUUCAGUAGUUUGACAGAGAGAUGAGCAAGCUAGUCCCUGGAGGCCGUUCUCUGGAGUGUAACAAAUGAGAGAUAUCUUAUCACUGGUGACACUACUCAACAGUCAGAGCAGAAGCUACUCAUGGUACAUCCAGUUUCUUGAUGAUGGAGUUCCUGUGCUCAUUGUUGAGGUGAUUGGUACUUUGAUCUCUUGCUGUUGCCUUCUGGGUAAAAGCUGUAGCAUUGAUGAAAAGACAAGACCAAGCCCCUUGGAGACACUUUUCUGGAGUUUCGCACAUCACUGGCAACUGGCAUUACUGACAACUGGCAUUACUGACAACACAACUCACUCGGUAAG